CAGAUUUCACCCACCUGGAUCACUGAUGUUUGGCCCUUGCCCUGCUUCCUCCCUCGUCCGCUAAUGAGCUGAGACUGUCCCCAAGCAGAUUGCAAGCAUCUUGGCAUCAAGACAUCUGCUCUCUUAGAGCGCAGCAGCGCUCAGCAGAGCUCAUGCUCAAAGACAUGACUUCCUUUAUACUCUGUAUGUUAGUUCUUCUAAAAAUCAUCAGAAACUAAAUAAUUCUUUAAUGGCUGUUCUUACCAAGAAUCCUCAUUUCAGCCAGAUUUAAAACAUCACUCUAAACUUAUAUUGCAUAUGGAAUAUGCUGCUUUGCUGACAAACCCCUCUUUCUUGUAGUUUCUCCAAUAAGUGCAGACGUUUUCAGGCUUGGUGAGAAAUCAGUGCAAGGAGGGGCUCUGGGAAGUUUAGAAGUCACAUAGGUGUGUGCCUCUGUUCCCGCCAGCUCUCAUACCCACUGCUGUAGUGGGUAUUGGUUAUCACAUCUGCUGAGUCCAGCUUUGCUCAUACUUCUAUUCUGCAAGAGAGCAUUCAGCAAAACAGUUGGCUUCUUUCAGCCCCCUGCCAGUGCCUUGGCAACACCGGAGUUUUCCAAAGUGCUCUGAGAUGCAGACUCUGAGUAACUUAUUUUCUCUGUAGCAAGGCUGGAGGAAAAGCUGCAUUUGGAAGAGGUUACAGCAGAAAGCUAAGAAACAAGAGCUCUGGGGUGACAGACAGCAGUCUCUCCUAGGAAAAAAAGAGGUGAAAUUUUGGUUGCUGAGGGCUACUGGCUUCCCCAUGCAAGGUCUAAGCUAGGACAAAUUCUGGACGCGCCAGGGGAAGGAGACCUGGGAAUAUGGAGGGGAAAUUCACUGCUCAGUACUUGGUAAAGGAGAGAUGUCUUGCAGCUUAAUUUCCAGGGGUCAUUAAUCACCAUAGCUCAGCUGGUCUGCUCACAAGUUGUGCUGGUCUGGCUGCAGCACAGCAAUGUAGUGGUAUGACACAAACCAAUACGGAGGAGUUAUGAAAAGCAGUCUCUCUGCUGGUUUAUAGAUGAUCUGAGUGACAGUGAAUGAAAUGCUGUGGAGCUUCAAGUCAACAUAUUUCUUCAAGCUAGAAAUGGAUUGACUAAAUUAAGUAAAAUAAGACUCUAUCAAACUUUUAGCCAGAGCUCAGAUUACGUAAAUUCUGAGUAAUUUGCUUUUCCUGACAGUUUUCAAGUUCGCAUUUACAGCUUCUUCUGGGAGUGCUUACAGAACUGCUAAGUAUCACUUCGGCAACAGGCUUGUUGGGUAUUUAGCCUUUCCUAAUCAGCGCCUGCACUAAGGUAGAGGAGAGGCAAUACUGAUUUCUCAGUCCAAAUCGUCUUCCUGGAAGACGCUUCUUGGGUGUAGACCAUGAGCAUGAGGGCAUUUUCUUUUGUCCUGAGUUUCUGUGUUCACUGAAAAC
Oxyura jamaicensis (ruddy duck) is the source of this 1428-nucleotide long non-coding RNA. RefSeq lists it as uncharacterized. The transcript has 3 exons. Lineage: Eukaryota; Metazoa; Chordata; Aves; Anseriformes; Anatidae. The record is from RefSeq and is a predicted model, not a curated record.